Molecule: long non-coding RNA, 2163 nt
Organism: Diceros bicornis minor
Lineage: Eukaryota; Metazoa; Chordata; Mammalia; Perissodactyla; Rhinocerotidae
Exons: 3
Source: RefSeq, a predicted model, not a curated record
UGCUCUGGCUCAAGAUAACUCACCUAUUGCUCUUAUCUAUAGAAUGGUUAUUGGUUAUUUUUUGUUGACAUUUCUUGGUAUAGUCAUGGCAGGAUUUCAGAGAAACUCACUGGAGACCACCUGGAAUCUACACUGAACGGGCAUUCGGGCUCAUUGAGCACCGCUCUGGAUCACUGCAUUCUUCAGGUGACCCUGAAACAAGAUGGCCACCUUCCUGUUGUGUCCUUACAUGGAAGAGAGAGAGAGAGCAAACUGCUGUUUCUUCUUAUAAAGACACUAAUCUCAUCAUGAAAAGAAUCACCAUGAAUCACCCUCAAGACCAGAUCUAAACCUAAUUACAACACAAAGGCCCUACCUUCUAAUACCAUCACAUUGGGGGUUAGGAUUUCAACAUAUGUAUUGGAGACAAACAUUCAGUCCAUAACAGCGUUUAACUCCAACCAUCCAUCAUAACUCUCCACAGAAGGUCCAUGUAGACAAGGAGAGACCAAAGAAGGAAGAGGGGAGAAGAAGAUUUCUGAGGGCCGGCCCUGUGGCUUAGCGGUUAAGUGCGCGCGCUCUGCUACUGGCGGCCCGGGUUCGGAUCCUGGGUGCACAUGGACAUGCCGCUUCUCCGGCCGUGCUGAGGCCGCGUCCCACAUACAGCAACUAGAAGGAUGUGCAACUACAACAUACUACUAUCUACUGGGGCUUUGGGGAAAAAAAAAAAAGGAGGAGGAUUGGCAAUAGAUGUUAGCUCAGAGCUGGGCUUCCGCAGCAAAAAGAGGAGGAUUAGCAUGGAUGUUAGCUCAGGGCUGAUCUUCCUCACAAAAAAAAAAAAAAAAGAAAGAAAGAAAAUUUCUUUCAGAUUCACAGAUCACCACUCAUGCUAUCAUAUAAAGUUUUAGAAUUCUUUCCUUUCUAAGCUAUAAGGUUUGGACAAAUUUCCACAGCCUAGCAUUUUAGUAUGUAUAUUUCAAGACCAAUUUUUUUUUCCAUUUCUAUACUUCUAGUGUCAGAUGCUGUUGGACAUGUUUAUAGAGUAAUAUGCCUCUGACUCAGGUGCUAACAUCCUGUGACAUGACACCAGCUGAACUGACAUGAUGGAUGAUAGAAAGCCAUUCCUACACAGAGACAGCUAGCAAUGACAUAACUAUCCAUGCCAGAGACUGAACCACAUAUCUAUGUCAUAUUAAACUCAAUCUCAGUGUAUCCCCAACUCAACUUCCUUUUAGACAGAUCUCAAAAAUUCCUGCAGUCACUGCAACCCUACUUACCAUGAGGAAAGUAUAAAGAAGGCAAAGAAAGUGAAGACAGCAUAAUCUCAACUGACUUCACAUAAAAUACUUUACUUUUGUAGAUGUUACAAAAGCAUAUGGUCACACGCAGUGCCACAGCCCCUUGCAAGGCCUUGGAAGUAAAUGGCCAGUGAUAGUAAAAGGCCUAAGUAUGUGCUUCAUUAGCUUCCUGGUAAAUCCACCUCUGCCUGGAGAGUUGCAUUUUGUUUUAGCAAAAGCUUGUCUCCUGAAAUUCCCCUCUCACUCAAAGCUGAUAACUCCUCAUAGACACAGACAGAGCUGUGUAGCACAAAGCGUCCACAUAGCUUCAUGAAUAUUUGUUCAGCUAAGUAGAUAGGUCUCUUUCCACACAAAAGAUUAUUUCAGUAUAUUGGACUACUAUGUUUAAUAAUGGAUUUCAAUUAUGAUCAAAUGUUUAUAUUGAGGGCAAACAAUAAUAACAAUAAUAAACAGUUAAUUCACCUAUAAUAAUGUUUCCUUAUGUUUAUACGGUAUUUUUAACUUUUCAAUGUACAUUUCCAUAAAGAUCUACGGCUAUUAACUAGAUUCCCUGUCACUAGAAAAAAUCCCGAUAAUACAUGUAAAUACGGAUUAGUAAAAAGACCCAUCAUCUCACUUAUUUACAUAGAACGCAUUUACCUACAGUACGAUGAUUUAAUGUGUAAGCAGACACAGCAGGAACUGCAACUCCUCCCCCAUGUAAAUAUGUGUCAUUCUGUAUAUACAAACUACCUCUGUAAUAAAAUGAAGAUUACAUAAAUGGGAUUAAAAACCGUAGUACACGAUUUUAUCCUGAUAAAUAUGUCAUUUAAGCAAUUUCAAGUAUCAUUUUGAGACAUAAAAAUUAGUAAUCUCUUUUACUACAACACAGAUUUAGUUAUUUUAU